RNAcentral lists this ribosomal RNA (396 nucleotides) under Triticum aestivum (bread wheat). RNAcentral describes it as "partial small subunit ribosomal RNA". The record is from RNAcentral. Lineage: Eukaryota; Viridiplantae; Streptophyta; Magnoliopsida; Poales; Poaceae.
AUGAAGCCAAUGAUUAAGGCACUUAUUCAGCAGUGUGAGAUUUGCCAACUUGCAAAACCUGAACGAGUGCCAUAUCCUGGAUUAUUACAGCCAUUACCAGUUCCUAGCACUCCUUGGGAAAUGAUGACGAUGGAUUUCAUUGAAGGCCUUCCAGUUUCUAAGCAAUUCAGUUGCAUCUUGGUGGUUGUCGAUAAACUGACUAAAUAUGGCCACUUCAUACCGCUUCAGUGUCCUUAUACGGCAGCCAAGGUCACCGAGGUUUUCCUUGAUCAUGUUUACCGUUUGCAUGGAUUACCACUUUCCUUGUUGUCUGACCGAGAUCCUCUGUUCACAAGCAUAUUUUGGCGGGAUCUUUGUCGUCAGACUAGUAUCAAGCUGUGUAUGAGUUCAGGGUAA